This 502-nucleotide ribosomal RNA is filed under the name uncultured Actinomycetes bacterium. RNAcentral describes it as "bacterial SSU rRNA". It matches the Rfam family "Bacterial small subunit ribosomal RNA", at positions 8 to 522 of the family's 1533-position model. Lineage: Bacteria; Bacillati; Actinomycetota; Actinomycetes. The record is from RNAcentral.
AGAGUUUGAUCAUGGCUCAGGACGAACGCUGGCGGCGCGCUUAACACAUGCAAGUCGAACGGUGAACCGGGCUUCGGCCCGGGGAUCAGUGGCGAACGGGUGCGUAACACGUGGGCAACCUGCCCCUCACUCUGGGAUAACCCCGGGAAACCGGAGCUAAUACCGGAUACUCCGACCGGUCCGCAUGGUCUGGUCGGGAAAAGUCCGCUGGUGAGGGAUGGGCCCGCGGCCUAUCAGCUUGUUGGUGGGGUAACGGCCCACCAAGGCGACGACGGGUAGCUGGUCUGAGAGGACGACCAGCCACACUGGGACUGAGAUACGGCCCAGACUCCUACGGGAGGCAGCAGUGGGGAAUCUUGCGCAAUGGGCGAAAGCCUGACGCAGCGACGCCGCGUGGGGGAUGAAGGCCCUCGGGUUGUAAACCCCUUUCGGCAGGGACGAAGCGAUCGUGACGGUACCUGCAGAAGAAGCCUCGGCUAACUACGUGCCAGCAGCCGCGGUA